AUGGCUUCCUCGUCCGGCAACGAUGCUGAUCUCACUAUCCCCAGAGAGGGGAUUUAUUGCUAUCAAUAUUUAUUGCUAUCAAUAAAAUGAUUAAAGAGACUCUCCCCAAUGUCCGAGUGGCCAACGAUGCUCGAGAGCUGGUGGUGAACUGCUGCACUGAAUUCAUUCACCUUCUAUCUUCUGAAGCCAAUGAGAUUUGCAACAAGUCGGAAAAGAAGACCAUUUCACCAGAGCAUGUCAUACAAGCACUAGAAAGUUUGGGCUUUGGUUCUUACAUCACUGAAGUAAAAGAAGUCUUACAAGAAUGCAAGACAGUAGCGUUAAAAAGAAGAAAGGUCAGUUCUCGUUUGGAAAACCUUGGCAUUCCUGAAGAAGAAUUGCUGAGACAGCAGCAAGAAUUAUUUGCAAAAGCUAGACAACAACAAGCAGAAUUGGCCCAACAGGAAUGGCUUCAAGUGCAGCAAGCUGCCCAACAAGCCCAGCUUGCUGCUGCCUCAGCCAGUGCAUCCAAUCAGGCAGGAUCUUCUCAGGAUGAAGAUGAAGAUGAUGAUAUCUGAAAUUACCAACUGGGUUUCUAUUUCCUCUAUAGAUGUUUUUCUCUGUACAACAAACAGUGAAAGAAAUGCUUAUCUGCAAUUUUGUAUGUAUCUUGGUGGACUUGCCAUUGGUAUUCUAGGAAUGUCUGCUGUUAAAUUUCAUCUAUUGUGUGCUAUACAUGUAAAAUCUGUCUCUUUGAACUGUUGAAAACUUAAGUUCAGUAUAAUAUCAGUUUUGAAUUUGUAAUGGUGUUUAUGAAAUUUUAGAUAGCAGUGAGUCCUUUAUUUGAUCAAUAAACAGUGUUACAGAAAACUUCAAGUUUAUAAAAAUACAGUGAAAUUUAUACAGAAGCUCUAAA
RNA transcript from Nycticebus coucang (slow loris), 895 nucleotides. It is a transcript of the gene named protein Dr1-like, with no coding region annotated. The record is from RefSeq and is a predicted model, not a curated record. The transcript has a single exon. Lineage: Eukaryota; Metazoa; Chordata; Mammalia; Primates; Lorisidae.